GACAAGAUCCCAGUGUUAGGGGAACAAAGCCCGUGAUUGACGGGCCUGAAAUGGCUGCAGCGCUGAGUCUUUGUCGUUAGCAAGCAAAGGCCGCAGCAGGUUCGGGGAACAUCGCUUGAAGAAGUCAGAGUGAGACUGGUUAAUGACACGGCUUUUGAUUUAAAUGCUUAUUUAACUCUUUGUUAGGAGUGGUCGCGAAGGUCGCUCUGUCAAAGCGCCGAGUCGCGACGACUUUGUCUUCACCACAGCGGGUUGACGCUGCAGCUCUCGUUGGACGGGGAUUGUUCGUCCGCUCUCGCUUUUGCGACAGUAGCUGUUUCGUCACCGUGACUGCUUCAUGACGACAGAGAGAAGGGGAAGACUCCUUUUAACUCGUAGAGACAAACCAUCGCUUAAGUGUGAAUUUAACUCAUUAUUCAUGUGCCAAUAACACCACAAAUUUGUUCUUCGAUUAUUUUCCUC
Molecule: long non-coding RNA, 462 nt
Filed under: Musa acuminata (dwarf banana)
Lineage: Eukaryota; Viridiplantae; Streptophyta; Magnoliopsida; Zingiberales; Musaceae
Description: long non-coding RNA (MACU_LNC010769)
Source: RNAcentral